Molecule: ribosomal RNA, 468 nt
Filed under: uncultured bacterium
Lineage: Bacteria
Description: partial 16S ribosomal RNA
Rfam family: Bacterial small subunit ribosomal RNA
Source: RNAcentral
GACGAACGCUGGCGGCGUGCUUAACACAUGCAAGUCGAACGGAAAGGCCCUGCUUUUGUGGGGUGCUCGAGUGGCGAACGGGUGAGUAACACGUGAGUAACCUGCCCUUUACUUUGGGAUAACUUCAGGAAACUGGGGCUAAUACCGGAUAGGAGCUCCUGCUGCAUGGUGGGGGUUGGAAAGUUUCGGCGGUUGGGGAUGGACUCGCGGCUUAUCAGCUUGUUGGUGGGGUAGUGGCUUACCAAGGCUUUGACGGGUAGCCGGCCUGAGAGGGUGACCGGCCACAUUGGGCCUGAGAUACGGCCCAGACUCCUACGGGAGGCAGCAGUGGGGAAUAUUGCACAAUGGGCGGAAGCCUGAUGCAGCAACGCCGCGUGCGGGAUGACGGCCUUCGGGGUGUAAACCGCUUUCGCCUGUGACGAAGCGUGAGUGACGGUAAUGGGUAAAGAAGCACCGGCUAACUACGUG